Molecule: ribosomal RNA, 115 nt
Filed under: Alphaproteobacteria bacterium
Lineage: Bacteria; Pseudomonadati; Pseudomonadota; Alphaproteobacteria
Also listed under: 3 other names
Source: RNAcentral
CCUGGUGGUUAUGGCGGGGAGUCAACACCCGAUCCCUUUCCGAACUCGGUCGUGAAAACCCCCAGCGCCGAUGGCACUGCGUCUUAAGGCGUGGGAGAGUAGGUCGCUGCCAGGC